UUUUCCAGAAUCAGCCCUCUUCCAUGCCUCUACACCGAUUGCAUUUGCACGUUUCAGACACUUAAUUCACUGAGUACUCAUUUAUCAAGAUAUCAUACAGCACAACCUAGCAGUUGUACAGAGCAGAGUCAGGGGCCUGUGUUAUUCAAAUGCCCCUUAUGCACAUUUCAGCAACCCUUUUCUAAUUCAGCCGUUUUCAGUCAUCUCAGAAAGCAUUUGAAAAAUCAUGAAACGGUGACAUGCCCAUAUAAGGAUUGUAGCUAUAUCACAAAUGUGUACUCCUCGUUCAAUUCUCAUAAAAGUAGAGAACACCAAGCAGGUCUUGCAUCUGACUUUCAAACUGAUAUUGUCAGUGAGGAUCCCCAUAUACUUCAAGCCAGUAUUUCUGAGGAAACUAGUGAUUCGCAUGAAGAAUGCCCAGACCAGAGCAGAGAAGUGGGGAACGGUGAUCAGUGUGACACUGGCAGUCUAAGAAAUCAACUUAAAACAAAUUUACAAAUUUAGCUUCUUUAUUUCUAAAGAUGCAGGCUAUCCUUCAUGUCUCGAACACAGCUAUUCAGGAAAUAGUAGACCACUUGAAUCAGAUCUUCUGAGGUAAUAUGGAUCAUCUCUCUUUAAGUGAAAAUUGUGAUUCUUAUUCAUUUGACCGCUAUUGUCGGCUUAAUAAAUGUGCUAGAUUCUUCAAAUUGAAUGUUUUUUUAUUUGUUGCUGUUAUUUCAAUGUAGUUGUAUGCAGAGUUCCAGAGGAUAACCAAUCAGAACCUGCCCAACCGAUUCUAUGCUGAGCUUGACCGCCAUCUUCCACGACUAAUGACUUUAUUUAGGCAGAAGGCAUCAAGAACUGGAAAGACAGCAGAUGCUCUGGCUGAAAUUUUAAAAAUCCACGAUGAACAGGAAAACCAGGACAUACACACCAAACGUACGACUGUUCUCCACGGCCUUCCUGUCUAUCUGCGAGGAUGUAUCUGGAUUCUUCAGAACCUGCACAGAUGAGUCUGAUGAGCCAGAGCUCGAUGGUGUUGCAGUGGGCCUCCUGACCGUCAUCAGUGACC
Long non-coding RNA from Pseudoliparis swirei, 1051 nucleotides. RefSeq lists it as uncharacterized. NCBI's taxonomy places the organism in Eukaryota, Metazoa, Chordata, Actinopteri, Perciformes, Liparidae. The record is from RefSeq and is a predicted model, not a curated record. The transcript is spliced from 3 exons.